GGUAUGUGCAGAAGAAGCACCGGCCAACUACGUGCCAGCAGCCGCGGUAAUACGUAGGGUGCGAGCGUUGUCCGGAAUUACUGGGCGUAAAGAGCUCGUAGGUGGUUUGUCGCGUUGUUCGUGAAAACUCACAGCUUAACUGUGGGCGUGCGGGCGAUACGGGCAGACUGGAGUACUGCAGGGGAGACUGGAAUUCCUGGUGUAGCGGUGGAAUGCGCAGAUAUCAGGAGGAACACCGGUGGCGAAGGCGGGUCUCUGGGCAGUAACUGACGCUGAGGAGCGAAAGCGUGGGGAGCGAACAGGAUUAGAUACCCUGGUAGUCCACGCCGUAAACGGUGGGUACUAGGUGUGGGUUUCCUUCCUUGGGAUCCGUGCCGUAGCUAACGCAUUAAGUACCCCGCCUGGGGAGUACGGCCGCAAGGCUAAAACUCAAAGGAAUUGACGGGGGCCCGCACAAGCGGCGGAGCAUGUGGAUUAAUUCGAUGCAACGCGAAGAACCUUACCUGGGUUUGACAUGCACAGGACGCUGGUAGAGAUAUCAGUUCC
RNAcentral lists this ribosomal RNA (546 nucleotides) under Mycobacterium sp. AHi45. RNAcentral's name for it is "bacterial SSU rRNA". It matches the Rfam family "Bacterial small subunit ribosomal RNA", at positions 474 to 1016 of the family's 1533-position model. The record is from RNAcentral. Lineage: Bacteria; Bacillati; Actinomycetota; Actinomycetes; Mycobacteriales; Mycobacteriaceae.